This 262-nucleotide long non-coding RNA is filed under the name Nicotiana benthamiana. RNAcentral describes it as "long non-coding RNA (NBEN_LNC021888)". The record is from RNAcentral. Lineage: Eukaryota; Viridiplantae; Streptophyta; Magnoliopsida; Solanales; Solanaceae.
CCUCAUCAGCAUGUCUAUGUCCAGAAUAUGUUGUCUAUGUUAUAGUGGGUACCGGUUGAGUAGAAUAUUGUGCCCCCUUCGCAUAAAUAUCCCAAGUCCGCCUCUGCAUGCGGCGUCUCUUUUGUGAGUGACAAUUCAUCUCUUAAAUUCACAUUUUGAGAUUCAGUGUCUACUAAUGCUCCAGCAACCCUAGUUCAAGUUGUUUAGCCUUUUCUUGUGCUUCUGAUAUUCUCUACAAACAGAUGAAACACUUGAAUUACCA